GAGGCAGCAGUAGGGAAUCUUGGACAAUGGGCGCGCGUGAUCCAGCCAUGCCGCGUGGGUGAUGAAGGCCCUAGGGUUGUAAAGCCCUUUCGGCGGGGAAGAUAAUGACGGUACCCGCAGAAGAAGCCCCGGCUAACUUCGUGCCAGCAGCCGCGGUAAUACGAAGGGGGCUAGCGUUGCUCGGAAUCACUGGGCGUAAAGCGCACGUAGGCGGCUUCUUAAGUCAGGGGUGAAAUCCCGGAGCUCAACUCCGGAACUGCCUUUGAUACUGGGGAGCUUGAGUCCGGGAGAGGUGAGUGGAACUGCGAGUGUAGAGGUGAAAUUCGUAGAUAUUCGCAAGAACACCAGUGGCGAAGGCGGCUCACUGGCCCGGUACUGACGCUGAGGUGCGAAAGCGUGGGGAGCAAACAGGAUUAGAUACCCUGGUAGUCCACGCCGUAAACGAUGGAUGCUAGCCGUUGGCGGGUUUACCCGUCAGUGGCGCAGCUAACGCAUUAAGCAUCCCGCCUGGGGAGUACGGUCGCAAGAUUAAAACUCAAAGGAAUUGACGGGGGCCCCAAGGUGGAGCAUGUGGUUCAAUUGAAGCAAGCAGCCUAACCAGCCCUUGACAUCCCGGUCGCGGGAACGAGAGAUCGCC
This 637-nucleotide ribosomal RNA is filed under the name uncultured Alphaproteobacteria bacterium. Its description in RNAcentral is "bacterial SSU rRNA". It matches the Rfam family "Bacterial small subunit ribosomal RNA", at positions 345 to 1013 of the family's 1533-position model. The record is from RNAcentral. Lineage: Bacteria; Pseudomonadati; Pseudomonadota; Alphaproteobacteria.